This 353-nucleotide transfer-messenger RNA is filed under the name Desulfobacterales. Its description in RNAcentral is "GCA-2748835 sp002748835 Standard tmRNA". It matches the Rfam family "transfer-messenger RNA". Rfam says of the family: Bacterial tmRNA, also known as 10Sa RNA or SsrA, is named for its dual tRNA and mRNA-like properties. Its role is to liberate the mRNA from a stalled ribosome. RNAcentral also lists the same sequence under 1 other name. The record is from RNAcentral. Lineage: Bacteria; Pseudomonadati; Thermodesulfobacteriota; Desulfobacteria.
GGGGGCGAAAUGGUUUCGACGGGGAUUCAGAGGUUUUGGUUGCAUGCCGAGUUACUGUAACUCGUAAAACUGCAGUAUCUAAAUAUAAUCGCAGACGAUUAUACCUACGCCGUAGCUGCUUAGGCAGCUGCCGUCCUUCCGGUUGCCUCCCGAGCAACCGGGUCUGGGCGUCGACAAAUCGGGAUAGUCUGUAUUGAGUGGCCGAAUCAUUACAGGCGAAUUUUUUCGGACUAGGUCCCGCGGUACCCCGCCUGAAGGAGACCGCGUGAUCGACAAUCAGAGUUCAGGAUAAGCAUGUAGACGCCACUACUGAAGGUUUUCGGACGCGGGUUCGACUCCCGCCGCCUCCACCA